This 490-nucleotide ribosomal RNA is filed under the name uncultured bacterium. Its description in RNAcentral is "partial 16S ribosomal RNA". It matches the Rfam family "Bacterial small subunit ribosomal RNA", at positions 30 to 507 of the family's 1533-position model. The record is from RNAcentral.
AUUGAACGCUGGCGGCAGGCCUAACACAUGCAAGUCGAACGGUAACAGGAAGCAGCUUGCUGCUUUGCUGACGAGUGGCGGACGGGUGAGUAAUGUCUGGGAAACUGCCUGAUGGAGGGGGAUAACUACUGGAAACGGUAGCUAAUACCGCAUAACGUCGCAAGACCAAAGAGGGGGACCUUCGGGCCUCUUGCCAUCGGAUGUGCCCAGAUGGGAUUAGCUAGUAGGAGGGGUAACGGCUCACCUAGGCGACGAUCCCUAGCUGGUCUGAGAGGAUGACCAGCCACACUGGAACUGAGACACGGUCCAGACUCCUACGGGAGGCAGCAGUGGGGAAUAUUGCACAAUGGGCGCAAGCCUGAUGCAGCCAUGCCGCGUGUAUGAAGAAGGCCUUCGGGUUGUAAAGUACUUUCAGCGGGGAGGAAGGGAGUAAAGUUAAUACCUUUGCUCAUUGACGUUACCCGCAGAAGAAGCACCGGCUAACUCCGUG